Molecule: ribosomal RNA, 400 nt
Filed under: uncultured bacterium
Lineage: Bacteria
Description: bacterial SSU rRNA
Rfam family: Bacterial small subunit ribosomal RNA
Source: RNAcentral
UGGGGAAUCUUGGACAAUGGGCGAAAGCCUGAUCCAGCAAUGCCGCGUGCGUGAAGAAGGCCUUCGGGUUGUAAAGCGCUUUUGUCUGGGAGCAAAUCCUGGCCUCUAAUACAGGUCGGGGAUGAGAGUACCAGAAGAAUAAGGACCGGCUAACUACGUGCCAGCAGCCGCGGUAAUACGUAGGGUCCAAGCGUUAAUCGGAAUUACUGGGCGUAAAGCGUCCGCAGGUGGCUUGAUAAGAUAGAGGUGAAAUCCCUGGGCUCAACCUAGGAAUUGCCUUUAUGACUGUCUCGCUAGAGUAUGGGAGAGGGGGGUGGAAUUCCACGUGUAGCAGUGAAAUGCGUAGAGAUGUGGAGGAACACCGAUGGCGAAGGCAACCCCCUGGCCUAAUACUGACACU